GAUGAACGCUGGCGGCGUGCCUAAUACAUGCAAGUCGAGCGAACAGACGAGGAGCUUGCUCCUCUGACGUUAGCGGCGCACGGGUGAGUAACACGUGGAUAACCUACCUAUAAGACUGGGAUAACUUCGGGACACCGGAUCUAAUACCGUAUAAUAUAUUGAACCGCAUGGUUCAAUAGUGAAAGACGGUUUUGCUGUCUCUUAUCGAUGCAUCCCGGCCGCAUUAGCUAGUUGGUAAGGUAACGGCCUACCAAGGCAACCAUGCGUAGCCGACCUGAGGGGGGGAUAGGCCACCCUGGAAGUGGAACACGGUCAAGACUACUACGGGAGGCACCAGUAGGGAAUCUUCCGCAAUAGGGGAAAGCCUGACGGAGCAACGGCGCGUGAGUGAUGAAGGUCUUCGGAUCGUAAAACUCUGUUAUUAGGUAAGAACAAAUGUGGAAGUAACUAUGGACGUAUUGACGGUAACUAAUAAGAAAGCCACGGCUAACUACGUG
This 497-nucleotide ribosomal RNA is filed under the name uncultured bacterium. Its description in RNAcentral is "partial 16S ribosomal RNA". It matches the Rfam family "Bacterial small subunit ribosomal RNA", at positions 28 to 507 of the family's 1533-position model. The record is from RNAcentral.